GACCGAGGCUUAGGCUCGCCUGCGUGGACGCUGGGGAUGCAGCCACCUAGUUUCUGAAACUGGGAAAAGGUCUGGGGGCUCCGGAGCCCCCACCUCCAUGCAGCCUCAGAUGUUGCUUAGCAACAGAUGCGCGCUCUGGGGCAGCUGCAGGGGCUCAGGACCUACGGAGUGCAAGUGAAGACACCUAUGUUGCAUCUUGCUGGAGAGGCACCUGGCACCUGCCCGCCCCAGCGUGCCUGGAGGGUUCCCACAUCCAGACGGACAGACGGGCCAGGGGACACCCGUCCAGGCAGCCAUGGCUGCUCAGCCACAGUCCCUGGAGGGUCAGGGGCCCAGCUGUGAGGCAGGCGGUGCCCAAGACGCUCUCUGGACCGCACUGCUUCAUCUGAGAGAAAGACUUUUGGAAGGCAUAGGUUGGGGCUCGCCUGGGAACCCCUCUCCAUCCCCCACCCAGACUCCAGCAGGCUGGAGUCAAGCUUGGCUGGGCAGCGGAGGAUCACUGGUGCACAGAGGGCUCCGCGUCUCCCCAAGCACCGCUCACCUGUGAGAUCACCGCCUGGCAGGGACGCCAGCACGGGCUCC
This 582-nucleotide long non-coding RNA is filed under the name Homo sapiens (human). Its description in RNAcentral is "HSALNT0395565". Lineage: Eukaryota; Metazoa; Chordata; Mammalia; Primates; Hominidae. The record is from RNAcentral.